AAGGUUGUAGCUCAGUGGUAGAGCACUUGCCUAGCAUUCUGGAGCCCUGGGUUUAAUUCCCAGCACCUCA
This 70-nucleotide transfer RNA is filed under the name Heterocephalus glaber (naked mole-rat). It matches the Rfam family "tRNA". Rfam says of the family: Transfer RNA (tRNA) molecules are approximately 80 nucleotides in length. Lineage: Eukaryota; Metazoa; Chordata; Mammalia; Rodentia; Bathyergidae. The record is from Rfam by way of RNAcentral.